This is a long non-coding RNA of Trachemys scripta elegans, 451 nucleotides long. RefSeq lists it as uncharacterized. NCBI's taxonomy places the organism in Eukaryota, Metazoa, Chordata, Testudines, Emydidae. The record is from RefSeq and is a predicted model, not a curated record. The transcript is spliced from 2 exons.
CUAAAGUCCUCUCUUUAUCUGCAGGAAAGGCAGAAGCAGUGCAGACAUCCUCUAGACUCACUCACCAACACCAGCCAACGUGCCUCAACUCUGCCCUAGAGAGACAACCUUAAGGACAGAGAGAGUAGAUUUUCUCCAGGCCCAUUCAAUCCUUAGCCUCUUUCGUGAGUCUGUUAACAAAGUUCCAGUUAGUGCUGGUUCUGAUGCUGUAUUUUGUCAUGUGGUCCCCUGAAAAUCUGUGCACAUCUGGAUCCAAUCAAGAACUGGACUGAGACCACCAAAUUCAUUUCACACAGGAAUCCGGACCUGGAUUUGGAUUUCAAUCCCAAGCCAUGAAAAUGCUGUCAGAAGAAACUGAUGCACUCUCCUGAGGAGAAGAAUGCUGCUCUGGGGAGAAUUUUUCUUGAACUUGGCUUUGAAUUCUCUUCAAAUGGAAAUUUCCCUUUUUGAA